GAUGAACGCUGGCGGCGUGCCUAAUACAUGCAAGUCGAGCGAACAGACGAGGAGCUUGCUCCUCUGACGUUAGCGGCGGACGGGUGAGUAACACGUGGAUAACCUACCUAUAAGACUGGGAUAACUUCGGGAAACCGGAGCUAAUACCGGAUAAUAUAUUGAACCGCAUGGUUCAAUAGUGAAAGACGGUUUUGCUGUCACUUAUAGAUGGAUCAGCGCCGCAUUAGCUAGUUGGUAAGGUAACGGCUUACCAAGGCAACGAUGCGUAGCCGACCUGAGAGGGUGAUCGGCCACACUGGAACUGAGACACGGUCCAGACUCCUACGGGAGGCAGCAGUAGGGAAUCUUCCGCAAAGGGCGAAAGCCUGACGGAGCAACGCCGCGUGAGUGAUGAAGGUCUUCGGAUCGUAAAACUCUGUUAUUAGGGAAGAACAAAUGUGUAAGUAACUAUGCACGUCUUGACGGUACCUAAUCAGAAAGCCACGGCUAACUACGUG
This 497-nucleotide ribosomal RNA is filed under the name uncultured bacterium. RNAcentral's name for it is "partial 16S ribosomal RNA". It matches the Rfam family "Bacterial small subunit ribosomal RNA", at positions 28 to 507 of the family's 1533-position model. The record is from RNAcentral.